CGACCCCAGCGUCCCGUGCCUCCUUCUCUCCGCACUAAAACCCUAAAAUCUAACACAACGCAGAGUAUAUCAGCAGUGCCGAGGGGCUCGACCAGGCGGCAGACGCGCAGAGGGAGUGGGUUACAUACACACAAGUUAUACACAUACCUGUGGCAUGAUAUUGAGAUGAAAGCAUGACCAGGGGCCUGUUGCACAAAAGUAGAAUUAAGACAUCCGGGAUAAAUGACUCAGCUGAGCUCAAUGAAGCCAAAACAUGUGCGUCCAGGCUUAAUUGGUUGCACAAAGACCAAGCCAGGAUGAGCAGACACGGAUUCAUUAAGCCAGGUGAAACCAAUCCUGGAUAGGUGCGCGCUCACGGCUCACUCAAAUAGACCCCGCCACAGAUCACAGAUUAACUGAUUUACCAUGGCAACUAGAGCCGCGUACUUUUCCCCGUCGGAAGCACAAAUCAUCAUGGAGGCAUACGAGGAGGUAAAAGAUAUAAUUAAGAAGAAAGGCAACACCGCCACAGUGAUAAAGCAAAGAGAAAAAGCGUGGCAAAGUAUUGCAGACCGCCUGAAUGCAUUAAACAUGAACGGGCCAAAACGGACAUGGCAGCAGGUCAAAAUCAAAUACAAGAACAUUCUGCAGAAUGCAGUGAAAAAGAAUACCCACAGACAAGGCACGGGUGGUGGGUCACCAAAGGCUGACCUUACCCCAGCAGAGGACAUGGCCUUGGAGCUAAAUAAAGGCAGGCCCGUCUUAGAGGGGAUCCCUGGGGGGAAAGAGACGAGCAUAGGUUCCUCCCAAGAUGCCACCCGCUUCAUUCAAGUGUCUGGCAGCACUGUGUUCCUGUUAGAGCCACCAGCACAAGCACCAGACGAUGCUGAUCCAGGUGAAGGCCCCAGUGGAGCAGCAACAGCACAUGAUGGAGACGAUGAUGAGGAGGAGACCAUCUCUCUGGAUUCCAGAAGGCAUGAGGACCCAGAUGCUAUACAGUGGGAAAACCAGCCUGGCAACAUAAGCUCACAAGCUAUCAGAAAGUUGUAUGGCAACCACCUCCGGCGCCAAAUAGAACUGGCAGACAUAGACAUUCAGUACAAGAAGAAAAAGAUGGAAAAUCUUGCACUGGAGUCCGAAAUAAAAAAGAGGACAAUUAGGAAACUGGACCUUGAAAUAAAAAAACUUGAGAGGGAGGUGAGAUAUGCCUUCAAUGUACACUGUAUGCUAACUGUAACACAAAUGUAUUAAUCAUUAUUUUUCUUUCCUCCCCCAGCUCCAAGAAGAUGACACAGCUGAAAAUAAAAAUUAGCAAUCAGUACAACCAAGUCAUCGUUAUAAGGCAUCGCCCUCUUUUGCCCACCCCCCCAGCACCAGGUGUGGCCACUAGCCUAUAUGAAGGCCCAAAAUUGUGUGUUCCUUU
RNA transcript from Osmerus eperlanus (European smelt), 1402 nucleotides. RefSeq lists it as uncharacterized. The record is from RefSeq and is a predicted model, not a curated record. NCBI's taxonomy places the organism in Eukaryota, Metazoa, Chordata, Actinopteri, Osmeriformes, Osmeridae. The transcript has 8 exons.